GACGAACGCUGGCGGCGUGCUUAACACAUGCAAGUCGAACGGGAUCCAUGUUGUAGCAAUACUUCGGAAGGUCUAGUGGCGAACGGGUGAGGAACACGUGAGGAACCUGCCCCGGACUUCGGGAUAACAGUUGGAAACGAUUGCUAAUACCGAAUACCUCUGCGAAGUGGCAUCACUUUGCAAAGAAAGAAUUUCGGUCCGGGAGGGUCUCGCGGCCUAUCAGCUAGUUGGUGGGGUAACGGCCUACCAAGGCAUCGACGGGUAGCUGGUCUGAGAGGAUGAUCAGCCACACUGGGACUGGGACACGGCCCAGACUCCUACGGGAGGCAGCAGUGGGGAAUUUUGUGCAAUGGGCGAAAGCCUGACACAGCAACGCCGCGUGCGGGAAGAAGGCCUUCGGGUCGUAAACCGCUUUCAGCAGGAACGAAAAUGACGGUACCUGCAGAAGAAGGUGCGGCCAACUACGUGCCAGCAGCCGCCGUAA
RNAcentral lists this ribosomal RNA (484 nucleotides) under uncultured bacterium. RNAcentral's name for it is "partial 16S ribosomal RNA". It matches the Rfam family "Bacterial small subunit ribosomal RNA", at positions 28 to 523 of the family's 1533-position model. The record is from RNAcentral.